CAAUAGCAUAUAUUAAAGUUGUUGCAGUUAAAAAGCUCGUAGUUGGAUUUCUGGAUUUUGCUUAUUGAUGCCACCGGCGGAUUUAAGCGAUCCAUUAGCCUGAAUUUCAGGCCAUUACUGUGAGAAAAUUAGAGUGUUUCAAGCAAGUUGUUGUUGGAAUACAUUAGCAUGGAAUAAUAUCAAACUUCUAGAAUGUUGGUUAGGUUCUAGAGUGUGAUUAAUAGGGAUAGUUGGGGCAUUAGUAUUUAAUUGUCAGAGGUGAAAUUCUUGGAUUUUUUAAAGACUAACUUAUGCGAAAGCAUUUGCCAAGGAUGUUUNCACUA
This 323-nucleotide ribosomal RNA is filed under the name uncultured eukaryote. RNAcentral describes it as "partial 18S ribosomal RNA". It matches the Rfam family "Eukaryotic small subunit ribosomal RNA", at positions 592 to 975 of the family's 1831-position model. The record is from RNAcentral.